CUUAACAUACAUGUGACCUUUUAAGCCAAAGGUAAGUCUAACGUUUGAAGAAUGUGUAUAUCAUUUGUAAAUCGUUCCAUUGCCCCAAAAAUAUUUAUAUAAAAUUUAUGAAUAAUAUAAAAAGGAAUACACAAUAGAGGAAAAGGAAAUAAAUAUCAAUCCCACGUAGGGGUACAAUGGUAAACUAAGCUAAACUUCCAUAUAAAUCUUCAUUCCUGAACUUCUUGAUGCUUUUGAAUUUCUUCUUGAUGAAGAGGAUCUUCACUUGACUUAAACAAAGAAACUAGCUACAAAGAUUAAAAAAAAAACCAACCCCAAAGGACAAUGUCACUUACAAAUUGACAUACAUAUCCUUCAAAUUUAACAAAUAAUUUAACAAAUAAUUGAAUGAUCAUCUUAUAUUGAACGGGGUUAAUUAGACUCAAGGUGAUCUUCUAAUGGAUCCAAUACACCUUGGGUAUUGGAUUAUCUUAGGUUAAUGCACCUAAAAAGGGUUUUGGCAUAGCUCUAACUUAGUUAACUGAGAGUUGACUUUAUUUACAGUUGAUAGGUGACCCAAGCGGACUCCUAGGCUGGGACAAUUAAUGACUAUUGACUAUCCAGUAGCUAACUACAUUCGUGAGGGUGCCCCGAGAAAAGUUUGGUUAGCGAAUGAUUGCGAACCCGUAUAAUCAUCCCUUAAGUAAAAAAAAAUAUAAUAUCGUUUGACGGAAUAAAUGUUAUGCAUGCAAUGACAAUAACAUUCGAAAUUUAAACACAUAAUUACAUAAAGCAACAUUUAAUACUACAAAUAAUGGUUAGCCAAACAGUAAUAUCUUUUGAUUAAAACCUAGAUGAAUUCCCAGCAAAGUCGUCAUUCUGUUACGACCCAAUUUCGAAAACUGAAAGGUUUCAAAGCCGAUUCACAACUUUGACAAUUUGUUAAAGGUUUUGGAAAAAAUAAGUAAUUUGGAAAGUCACCACUUAUUUUUUUGGAAAAAAAUAAGAAAGCCAUUUAAAAGGAAUUUUUUUGAAAGAAACCACUUUAAAUAAAAUCAGAGUUUUGGGUAAGGGUUCAACUAAUUCUCUAAGUAAGGGUUUAUGCAUGUUAGAGAAUCCGCUAGCAUGCGGUUGACCGCGGAUUUUAAUGUUUGGCUAAUAUUUAAGAAAAAAUUUAAGGUCACUUGAUAGAAUUAUUUUAUGAAAAUAAAUACAGAUCAACUAACUUAACAAGUAAGAAGAUAUUUAAGGUGUUAAACCGAUGAAAAUAUUUUUUUGACUUAAUAAUUUAUUUGAGUUAUUGAUUUUGAACCAAGUGGCUAAUUCAAAUUUAUAAAACAUGGAUUAAAAGAUUUCUAAUAACUAUGAAAGAACAUACAUAGUUCUUAAGUUAUUCCAUAAGCUUAAGUAGCCUAAAAAUAAAUUGUGUCAACAAAUCCAACUCCUUGAAAAGGAAUUUGAUAAAGGAAAAAAAUUAAAUAAUGUUAAACUCCUACGAGGAUUUAUCCAAGACAAUAAAACUUUAGAAAAAUGUUAGCAAUCACAACAACAAAAAUAAUAAAAAGGAAGUAACAUAAAAAGGGUAUCGAAAACUGAAAAUUUCAGCCCCAUUCCAACCAUUUUAGGGGGCUGAAAUUGUUGUAUUUUGCAGCUCAGAUCUUAGGCCGCUUGACCCAAAAUGCUUUCUGUUCCUUCAGUGGUAUUUUUAGACCUUUAAAGACCAAAAAAGAAGUCAUUUUAACCCUCUGAAACUGCUGCAAUUCAGCCUUAUUUCAGCUGUUCAAAUUUCAACAAUUUGGACGGAAAAAACUUUCAUUUUCAGCUAUUUUGAGCUGAUGUUGCUGCUUGUUUUUGCCACUGAUCUGUUCGUUUUACCUGGGUUUCAAUCGAAUGACAUUAACUUCCCUUUCACUAGGUGUAAAGGAGAGUCGACUCGGAGAGGAAAAUGCAAAAGGAAGAGUCCGAUUGGACUCAAACAAGAGAGUUCAUGCAAAUUCAAAGACGAGGAAAAAAGGAUUAGUAAGAUGAUUUUAAUAAGCAUGUUUGAACAAGAAACCUUAAUUUAUAUAUUCAACCUCAUUACUGAAAAUUAAACAAGAAGGAGAUCACUCAACCACACAAAUGUUUUCUUUAACCAAAACUCAACUCUAAAUAUAAGAGAUUAGCAACAAUGAUUAACUUCAAACCAUAUUAAUCAGUAUUUGUUCAACAACCAAGAUUUUAAAGAAGUAAACUAAAAAAAUCAGUCCAUAUUUCUAUAAUAUUCAAUUUCCAACAAGACAGACAUACUAAAGAAAAAUUUUUGGCAAAACAAGAGAGACUUAAGCACUCCAGCAAUACAAGAGAUGAGCAAUUAAUGAAUUAACAAGUUCAACUUUGUUUUAUAAUACAGAACACUUAGAUGCGGAGGAGUACACAACUUGUAUUCUUAAUUGUAUGCAUUUAAAGAGGGCAAUGAGAGAGCAGGAAACCAUCAGAAACAGAAGAAGACACUUAAUUUCUAAUCCUAACAUAUUUCUUUCACAUUCAAACCAAGGAACAAUACGAUCAUAAAUUUCAAUCACAUAUUUAAGCGAAUAGAAGAUCAGAAUAUAGAUGGGGAAUGACACAACUUAGACAAUUCACUAUGAAUCUUGAAUUUUACAAUCAGCAAAUAGAGAAAUAAAAGAUUGAGUAAAAAUGUUAGUUAACAAAAGAGACCUCAGGCAAGGUAAAUAUGCUCCUGGAAACAAUAGUGAUCAUAUUCAUAUUUCUUAACUACUGCCAGCAACAGAGCAACAAACUUUACUGCUAUUUACAUAAACAUCACACUAAACACAUUUAAUUAAAAAAACAUAAUUGACAAUACUAAAACAAACAACAAUUCCACAAUGCAUCAGAAAGAAAAGAAUAAAGAAAGAGCAAAAAGAUUACCUGGUUCUGGCCAGCAAACCCGAAGACGAGUUUGGCGGAGACGAUUCCACCUCUCUCAACUAGAGCAACCACAAAAACGUUUAAAAAUAUUAAAUUACGGAACCAAGAAUUCCCAAAACUUUAUGGGUAAUCUUUGGUCUCCGAAAAUUCUCCUUUAAAACAGUGAAUGAAGUGAAUUUAUAUAGAAACCCAAAAAUUCCAAAAAUCUGAGAAGAUAUGAUGUGGGAUUUUUGAAAAUUUUCAAAAUCCCUUAACAAAUAGGGAUUUCCCAUUGGUUGAUGUACGAAUUGGAAUGGUGAGGUGUUGAUUUUGAGCGAAGGAGGAUCGAGGCACCAGAUUUUGACAUCUCACCCUCUCCAAAGGUCUUCGUACGAAAAGAGAUGGGAGGAUGCAUCGCGUAACUGCUGAAAUUUUUGGGUUUCCUCUGAGUUUCAGUCGCGAGAGAGGACAAAGAUCGCGCGGGUCGGGUGGGUUGAUUUUUGGUAUUGCUGUACGCUGUGGGUAUUUGGAAUUUUAUGUUUUGGAAUGGAUUAUUUGACAAGUUGGGCUGCUGAGAAUGGGUUUGGAUUGACAAGAUGACCCAAAUUUGG
This 3482-nucleotide long non-coding RNA is filed under the name Solanum lycopersicum (tomato). RNAcentral's name for it is "long non-coding RNA (SLYC_LNC001363)". The record is from RNAcentral. Lineage: Eukaryota; Viridiplantae; Streptophyta; Magnoliopsida; Solanales; Solanaceae.